GGCCAGCGGCUGCUGGAAAUGCUGCGUGAAGACCGCGUACGCGUUGUCGAAGUUGGCCAUGGGUAAGCUGUCAGUACGAUGUUGAGUAUCACUGAUCAUCUCAAUAAUACCGUUGCCCAAUGAAGACGUGUUUUCAUACACUUGCAUAUCUCCGUCGGUGGCGCGAUAAGAUAUUCGAAAGGGCAUGUGGUCAAACUGUGAGCAGUAAGCUUGAUACUCGCGGGCUUCGGCUCGUGAUAUGUAGGGCGCCAAUGUGCGUUGCACUAAAGACUCGAGUGUGUUGGUAUGAUCAUGGUUUGGCUUUUCAGAGCCACGGGACGUCACAUGAGGGCCUGCACCCUCGUUGCUGGCGGGCUGGCCGGGCGUCUUCCCUGGUAGUUUGUGGCGUAAGCCCUGUGAGGAGCCCAUCCAGCGACGCAUACCACCGAUGAUUGAACGGUGUAGAGAUCCCGAAGGAGAAAGAAUCACAGAGUUCGAAGUGUGUGAAGGCAUGGCUAGUGGCGGCGGCAGCGUCUCCUGGUCCUCGUUCAGAGUCGGAAGAGGGUCGCCCAACUCGGCACUCGCAAGGUGUACGGCAGUCAUUUUGUAUGCAUGAUGUCGUUGUAGACUGAGUUAGUGAAUUAGACGUACUCGGUAAAUAGGCUUGGGCGGUAGUAACCCUCCCAGAAUCCCUUCUCG
This 678-nucleotide long non-coding RNA is filed under the name Malassezia sympodialis ATCC 42132. Lineage: Eukaryota; Fungi; Basidiomycota; Malasseziomycetes; Malasseziales; Malasseziaceae. The record is from RNAcentral.